This 439-nucleotide ribosomal RNA is filed under the name uncultured Peptoniphilus sp. Its description in RNAcentral is "bacterial SSU rRNA". It matches the Rfam family "Bacterial small subunit ribosomal RNA", at positions 338 to 795 of the family's 1533-position model. The record is from RNAcentral. Lineage: Bacteria; Bacillati; Bacillota; Tissierellia; Tissierellales; Peptoniphilaceae.
CCUACGGGGGGCUGCAGUGGGGAAUAUUGCACAAUGGAGGAAACUCUGAUGCAGCGACGCCGCGUGAGCGAUGAAGGUUUUCGAAUCGUAAAGCUCUGUCCCAUGGGAAGAUAAUGACGGUACCAUGGGAGGAAGCCCCGGCUAACUACGUGCCAGCAGCCGCGGUAAUACGUAGGGGGCUAGCGUUGUCCGGAAUUACUGGGCGUAAAGGGUUCGCAGGCGGAAAUAUAAGUCAGGUGUAAAAGGCGAAGGCUUAACCUUCGUAAGCAUUUGAAACUAUAUUUCUUGAGAUAUGGAGAGGUAAGUGGAAUUCCUAGUGUAGCGGUGAAAUGCGUAGAUAUUAGGAGGAAUACCAGUGGCGAAGGCGACUUACUGGACAUAUACUGACGCUGAGGAACGAAAGCAUGGGUAGCAAACAGGAUUAGAUACCCGAGUAGUC